GACGAACGCUGGCGGCGUGCUUAACACAUGCAAGUCGAACGGAAAGGCCCUGCUUUUGUGGGGUGCUCGAGUGGCGAACGGGUGAGUAACACGUGAGUAACCUGCCCCUGACUUUGGGAGAACUUCAGGAAACUGGGGCUAAUACCGGAUAGGAGCUCCUGCUGCAUGGUGGGGGUUGGAAAGUUUCGGCGGUUGGGGAUGGACUCGCGGCUUAUCAGCUUGUUGGUGGGGUAGUGGCUUACCAAGGCUUUGACGGGUAGCCGGCCUGAGAGGGUGACCGGCCACAUUGGGACUGAGAUACGGCCCAGACUCCUACGGGAGGCAGCGGUGGGGAAUAUUGCACAGUGGGCGGAAGCCUGGUGCAGCAACGCCGCGUGCGGGAUGACGGCCUUCGGGUUGUGAACCACUUUCGCCUGUGACGAGGCGUGAGUGACGGUAAUGGGUAAAGAAGCACCGGCUAACUACGUG
RNAcentral lists this ribosomal RNA (468 nucleotides) under uncultured bacterium. RNAcentral's name for it is "partial 16S ribosomal RNA". It matches the Rfam family "Bacterial small subunit ribosomal RNA", at positions 28 to 507 of the family's 1533-position model. The record is from RNAcentral.